This 254-nucleotide ribosomal RNA is filed under the name uncultured bacterium. RNAcentral describes it as "partial 16S ribosomal RNA". It matches the Rfam family "Bacterial small subunit ribosomal RNA", at positions 524 to 776 of the family's 1533-position model. The record is from RNAcentral.
UACGUAGGGGGCGAGCGUUGUCCGGAUUUAUUGGGCGUAAAGAGCUCGUAGGCGGUUUGGUAAGUCGGGUGUGAAAUCUCCACGCUCAACGUGGAGGGGCCACUCGAUACUGCCAUGACUCGAGUCCGGUAGAGGAGUGUGGAAUUCCCGGUGUAGCGGUGAAAUGCGCAGAUAUCGGGAGGAACACCCGUAGCGAAGGCGGCACUUUGGGCCGGAACUGACGCUGAGGAGCGAAAGCGUGGGGAGCAAACAGG